Molecule: unclassified non-coding RNA, 314 nt
Filed under: plant metagenome
Description: partial contains 5.8S ribosomal RNA, internal transcribed spacer 2, and large subunit ribosomal RNA
Rfam family: 5.8S ribosomal RNA (bases 1-105)
Source: RNAcentral
GAAAUGCGAUAAUUAAUGUGAAUUGCAGAAUUCAGUGAAUCAUCGAGUCUUUGAACGCACAUUGCGCCCCCUGGUAUUCCGGGGGGCAUGCCUGUCCGAGCGUCAUUGCUGCCCUCAAGCACGGCUUGUGUGUUGGGCUUCCGUCCCUGGCAACGGGGACGGGCCCAAAAGGCAGUGGCGGCACCAUGUCUGGUCCUCGAGCGUAUGGGGCUUUGUCACCCGCUCCCGUAGGUCCAGCUGGCACCUAGCCUCGCAACCAAUCUUUUUAACCAGGUUGACCUCGGAUCAGGUAGGGAUACCCGCUGAACUUAAGC